UACCAGGGUACAGACCAGUCGUCUGCCCUGGGCUCACCUGUGUGGGAGUCCGUCGGCCCAGUAGGUCGGCGGCCUCCCUCCUUCCCGGGAUGGGAAGAUACCCAGAGAUGAACUUCAAGUCCCGACUGCAGAGGGUGAUCCUGCUCCAGACUUGACCAGUUUAAACCUUCAAAAAGACAGAAUUCGUGAGCCAGAUCCCCAUCCUCGUCAUAGAACAUGGAGCUGUGCAGAGGGAGAGGGGAACAGGCUGGGCUGGAGCCCCACGCUAGUCAUGGCAAAUGCCAUCGACCACAGGGAAGUAUGCCCUCCCCCAAAUGGGGAAGAACAACCUUGGUGGGAGAAAGGGAGGUUAAUAUGCCUGGAGAAUCCCUCGCUUAGGGUCUGGGUCCGCUAGAAAGUGGGGAGUGGGAUGGUGGCAAGUGCUACUCUGUCAGACCCUAAGAAGAGAGGCCAUACCAAAAUGUCACUGGUUUGUUCAGCAAGAGUAGCCAUUCCAUCAGGCCCGUGACUUCACCCAGGACUUCUAGAGUGAGAAGGAUGGUGGCCCGGGUAUGCUGGUCUCACUCCAGAAGACACUGCUGGCCCAAGGCCAAGCCUGAGAUAGCAGAUGCCUGAGCUAGGAGGGAGCCUGAAAGAAAAAAGGCUGCAUCCUCCCCGGUCCAGGUGGCUGAUGCAACCAAACUGCCAUUGUUGGGGUCCCCCUAGAUUCUACAUCCAAAUUCCAGCAACACCUGAGCAGCAGUCCCCAGGGCCCAUGAGAUCCAGGCCGAUCUAGUGCUCCUAUCUGGGCCCCUUGGGGGAGGGGAGAGGUCAGUGCCCCCUGAUCUGGGAAAACAUACCUGGGGUGAGGGUCUUUUUCCCCAGAUCCCAGCCUCAACCCUAGGGCCCAGUCCUACUCUCCCAGCCACUACCCAAACAGGUCCAACCCUACCACUGUGGGGAACGGAAACAGACAAAACAGAGGGUCAUUCUCUUCUAGGGAGAACUGGGGGUGAGGGAGAAUAGGAGCCUUCAGCUAACAGGCUGGGAUGGAAAGGAUGAAAGGAAGAGGCUCUGGAGUCUCAGGGAGACCCUAUCUUAGCUUUAUCGUACGGAGGACCUGCCCAGGGACAAGCCUCAGGCCCACUCUUCUAGGGAGACCUUCAGAGCAGCCAGGCCACCAGGAACCGCCUGCUCGGCUUUCCCCACCCCUUGUUCCUAUGGGGACCUGAAAUAUGGGAAUCGUCCUGUCUCGGGUGUACGGGGUACAGCGGCGGGAGCGCCCCAUGUCGCGAGACGCCCAGCCGCCCGUCUGA
Odocoileus virginianus texanus is the source of this 1295-nucleotide non-coding RNA. The record is from RefSeq and is a predicted model, not a curated record. Lineage: Eukaryota; Metazoa; Chordata; Mammalia; Artiodactyla; Cervidae.